This 378-nucleotide unclassified non-coding RNA is filed under the name uncultured bacterium. Its description in RNAcentral is "contains 16S-23S intergenic spacer region". The record is from RNAcentral.
UCCGGCUUAACGCCGGCAGUCUCCUUAGAGUGCCCAACUUAAUGGUGGCAACUAAGGACGAGGGUUGCGCUCGUUGCGGGACUUAACCCAACACCUCACGGCACGAGCUGACGACGGCCAUGCAGCACCUGAACCGGCAGUCCCCGAAGGGAAAAUCCUAUUUCUAGGACGGUCCGCCGUUGUCUAGCCCAGGUAAGGUUCUUCGCGUUGCGUCGAAUUGAACCACAUGCUCCACCGCUUGUGCGGGCCCCCGUCAAUUUCUUUGAGUUUUAAUCUUGCGACCGUACUUCCCAGGCGGCGUAUUUAUCGCGUUGGCUACGCCACAAAAGGGGUCGAUACCCCCCACACCAAGCACUCACAGUUUAGGGCGUGGACUAC